UAGUAAUGCGAAUUGCAGAAUUCCAGUGAGUCAUCGAAUCUUUGAACGCACAUUGCGCCCUUUGGUAUUCCGAAGGGCAUGCCUGUUCGAGCGUCAUUAUCACCCCUCAAGCCCCGUGCUUGGUGUUGGACGGCCUGGUCGCGUCACCGCGACUCCUCCUAAAGACAAUGACGGCGGCCUGUGGUUCCCCCGGUACACUGAGCUUUUAAUUGAGCACGUAUUGGAUAAGGGCACCCGGGACCCGGUCUUCUCCCUUUACCGGGAAAUUUUCAAUGGUUGACCUCGGAUCAGGUAGGAAUACGCGCUGAACUUAAGCAUAUCAAUAAGCGCAGGAAAAGAAACCAACAGGGAUUACCUCAGUAACGGCGAGUGAAGCGGUAAUAGCUCAAAUUUGAAAUCUGGCCUCUUGGGGUCCGAGUUGUAAUUUGUAGAGGAUGUUUUGGGUACCGCCCCGGUUUAAAUUUCUUGGAACAGAAUGUCAAAGAGGGUGAGAAUCCCGUCUUGGACCGGUGGUAGGGCCUGUGUAAAACUCCUUCGACGAGUCGAGUUGUUUGGGAAUGCAGCUCAAAAUGGGUGGUAAAUUUCAUCUAAAGCUAAAUAUUGGCCAGAGACCGAUAGCGCACAAGUAGAGUGAUCGAAAGAUGAAAAGCACUUUGAAAAGAGAGUUAAACAGUAUGUGAAAUUGUUGAAAGGGAAGCGCUUGCAAUCAGACUUGAGCGCGGCGGUUCCCCUGACCUUUUGGUUAGGCUAUUCCGUCGUGUCCAGGCCAACAUCGGUUCUGAGGGUCGGUCAAAGGCCUUGGGAAUGUAUCUACCCACGGGUAGACUUAUAGACCAGGGUGUCAUGCGGCCUCUCGGGACCGAGGAACGCGCUUCGGCUCGGAUGUUGGCGUAAU
Molecule: ribosomal RNA, 895 nt
Filed under: uncultured Herpotrichiellaceae
Lineage: Eukaryota; Fungi; Ascomycota; Eurotiomycetes; Chaetothyriales; Herpotrichiellaceae
Description: eukaryotic LSU rRNA
Rfam family: Eukaryotic large subunit ribosomal RNA (bases 278-895)
Source: RNAcentral